CCCUACGGGGUGCAGCAGGCGAGAAAACUUUGCAAUGUGCGAAAGCACGACAAGGUUAAUCCGAGUGGUUUCUGCUAAAGGAACCUUUUGUUAGUCCUAGAAACACUGACGAAUAAGGGGUGGGCAAGUUCUGGUGUCAGCCGCCGCGGUAAAACCAGCACCUCAAGUGGUCAGGAUGAUUAUUGGGCCUAAAGCAUCCGUAGCCUGCUUUGUUAGUUUUCGGUUAAAUCCAUACGCUUAACGUAUGGGCUGCCGGGAAUACUGCAAAGCUAGGGAGUGGGAGAGGUAGACGGUACUCGGUAGGAAGGGGUAAAAUCCUUUGAUCUAUUGAUGACCACCUGUGGCGAAGGCGGUCUACCAGAACACGUCCGACGGUGAGGGGUGAAAGCUGGGGGAGCAAACCGGAUUAGAUACCCGGGUAGUCCCAGCUGUAAACUAUGCAAACUCGGUGAUGCAUUGGCUUGAUGCCAAUGCAGUGCCGCAGGGAAGCCGUUAAGUUUGCCGCCUGGGAAGUACGUACGCAAGUAUGAAACUUAAAGGAAUUGGCGGGGGAGCACCACAAGGGGCGAAGCCUGCGGUUCAAUUGGAGUCAACGCCAGAAUCUUACCCGGAGAGACAGCAGAAUGAACGUCAAGCUGAGACUUUACCAGACAGCUGAGAGGAGUGCAUGGCCACGGCGAUU
This 682-nucleotide ribosomal RNA is filed under the name uncultured marine group I thaumarchaeote. RNAcentral's name for it is "bacterial SSU rRNA". It matches the Rfam family "Archaeal small subunit ribosomal RNA", at positions 321 to 1008 of the family's 1478-position model. The record is from RNAcentral. Lineage: Archaea; Thermoproteati; Nitrososphaerota.